UACGUAGGGCGCAAGCGUUAUCCGGAAUUAUUGGGCGUAAAGAGCUCGUAGGCGGUUUGUCGCGUCUGCCGUGAAAGUCCGGGGCUCAACUCCGGAUCUGCGGUGGGUACGGGCAGACUAGGGUGAUGUAGGGGAGACUGGAAUUCCUGGUGUAGCGGUGAAAUGCGCAGAUAUCAGGAGGAACACCGGUGGCGAAGGCGGGUCUCUGGGCCGUAACUGACGCUGAGGAGCGAAAGCGUGGGGAGCGAACAGG
RNAcentral lists this ribosomal RNA (253 nucleotides) under uncultured bacterium. RNAcentral's name for it is "partial 16S ribosomal RNA". It matches the Rfam family "Bacterial small subunit ribosomal RNA", at positions 524 to 776 of the family's 1533-position model. The record is from RNAcentral.